GAGCUGGGCCCCGGCGGGUCCUGGUGGCGCCGAUAACCCGGAGCUUCCUCUUCUGCUUCCCAGAAGUGCCUCCGGCUUCUCGGAACCGCGGCUGCAAAACACACUCAGGACAACAGCCAGACGUGGGGGGUGAACGGGGAGACCGGAGCCCUGGUGGACAUGAAGGAGCUGGGGGUCUGGGAGCCGCUGGCGGUCAAGCUGCAGACCUACAAGACAGCGGUGGAGACGGCCGUUCUCCUGCUCCGCAUCGAUGACAUCGUGUCGGGGCACAAAAAGAAGGGCGAGGAGAAGAGCCAGGGCCCGGCGGCGCCAGAGCCAGCGCAGGAAUGAGCUCCGGGAAUGAGGGAUCCAGUCGCCGAUGGGAAGAACCAGCCGGCACCCGGCUCCCUGGAGCUGCUGGGGCUGAAGCCUUGGGGUGGGAUGGGGCAGAGCAACGCGAAGGUGGGGCGGGGGCUCAGUGCCCUGCUCGGGGGGCAGGCACUGGGCACGGGAGGCUCUGGAAUGUCACGGUUUGCCUGGGAAAUAAACCCAAUCACAUCA
RNAcentral lists this long non-coding RNA (540 nucleotides) under Strigops habroptila (Kakapo). Its description in RNAcentral is "lncRNA (ENSSHBG00005017022.1)". The record is from RNAcentral. Lineage: Eukaryota; Metazoa; Chordata; Aves; Psittaciformes; Psittacidae.